This 56-nucleotide non-coding RNA is filed under the name unclassified sequences. The record is from Rfam.
AACGUUCAAUCUAUUUAAAGUAGAUCGGAAGUAAGCUUAUGCUGAAGGAACGCGGU